Molecule: long non-coding RNA, 852 nt
Filed under: Arachis ipaensis
Lineage: Eukaryota; Viridiplantae; Streptophyta; Magnoliopsida; Fabales; Fabaceae
Description: long non-coding RNA (AIPA_LNC000179)
Source: RNAcentral
CCUUAUCAUAGGUAUAUAUUUAUACAAACAUGAACGUUAUAUAUUAGAAGUAUAUAUUAGACAGAUAGAGUUGGUCCAAAUUCGAAUAAAGAUACUAGUCUUGCUGUUUUUAGGAUCUUAGCCAAGUGGGAUUAAGUUCCUCAAAUUUCUCGUAAUAACAGAUAAGUGUCGGCAGGUUAAUUAGAAUCACAAAUAAAAGCUGUUGCUUCUCAUAUGAAAGAGUUUUCUACCAUGUUUAAUAGAUACGGGAAUUCAAAGUUCAAGCAGUUCUUUUUGAAAAUCAUAGCAAUCAGAUAACAAUGACUCAUUAGGAACUAAAAGAGAAAAUAAAAAAGAAAUUUUAUUAAGCAAUGAAUGCAAAUCACAAACCAAUAGUAGAAUAAUGACCAAAGUAGAAUAAUAUCACUAACAGCUACUUGAUCUUUUACUUAUUUAUUAUUUAUUUAUUUUCUAUCCUUUUUAUUCUUUUUGUCACUAUCUUGAUUUAAUUUCAGGCUCAAUUCAUGGUGGACCAGUUGGUUGAUCUGCAAAUCUAUUCAAUAAUGCAUGGCCAUGGACAUCUUCUAUACGACAGAAAUAUUCACACACAAACAAAUCGAAAUAGUGGCAGAGAGAAAAGAUGAUAGCGCCAAAAUUCUCAAACCGGAUCUGACGAAUUUCCACAAACUUCUGCCUCCUUGCAACCAUGUCGGCGUAACUCCGAUUACAUUGACGUAGAAGAUGAAAAUAGUGAAGAAUAAGAUCUCAACCUUUCUCUAUACUGAAUGAGACAUUCAACAAGAAUUCAUCACGAUAAUUGAGGCAACUAAACUCUCUCUAGGUUGAGGUCUUUCAGUUUCACGGGCAAUACAC